This 193-nucleotide ribosomal RNA is filed under the name Colletotrichum destructivum. Its description in RNAcentral is "partial 28S ribosomal RNA". It matches the Rfam family "Eukaryotic large subunit ribosomal RNA", at positions 1 to 199 of the family's 3401-position model. Lineage: Eukaryota; Fungi; Ascomycota; Sordariomycetes; Glomerellales; Glomerellaceae. The record is from RNAcentral.
ACCUCGGAUCAGGUAGGAAUACCCGCUGAACUUAAGCAUAUCAAUAAGCGGAGGAAAAGAAACCAACAGGGAUUGCCCCAGUAACGGCGAGUGAAGCGGCAACAGCUCAAAUNUGAAAUCUGGNCCCAGGCCCGAGUNGUAAUUUGCAGAGGAUGCNUNUUGGCGCGGUGCCUUCCGAGUNCCCUGGANCGGG